ACUUGAGCAAUAGAGCACAUGCCGUGUUUAUUUCCAGACAGAUGUUAUGAUGAGUCCUGUGCAAGGCCAUAAUCUCAAGCCCUGUAUCGUUCAGUCUCUUUGCAACGGUCGAGGGUCUAAAAAUAACGAUGGGAGUCUAUUGAUAAACGUAUUUUCAUACUUAUACUAAAAGUUCUACUCGUAUAAUCUGCCAGUAUUUUUUUUUUUAUCGUGAUAAAACUUCUGUACUCGACUCGCGCAAUGCGGAUGGGAUUUAUGUGUGCAAAUUAGGUCUGAUUGCGUAGGCCUGUAGUGUAGACCAAUCCGUGAGCAGUAUUCUGUAAAUAAUAAAGUGUCCUGUCUGUUGUCAUUGACCAGUGCUGGUGCAGUGCUGUAUGCAUAACAGAUCUGUUUCAAAAGAAGGAUAACAGUAUUUUACAGCCAUCAGGGUGGAAACUUAUAAAAACUAUUUUUUAAAAAUGGCUUAGAUUAGAUGGUGAAUGUCACAACAUUGUCAAGUUUAAUAUACAGUUCUGGUCCGUGGACUUCACUGACAUUCCCGCAUCCUACACGAGUGAUAUCCAUGUAGGUCGGUUUACUGAGGAGAGACAGUUAGAAUUAAGCAAAAAAAGUGUGCCAGGCGAGCACAGAGUUUACUUGAGGAUGAAAAAAAACAUGCAUCAACAUCACGAUCUCCAAGAAAAAACUGCGGUGCAGAGGUCUACCCUUCGGAGUCGGCCCCUAUCUCCAGCGCUUCCAGCAGGAAGUUAGUGCAGGCUGCUGAACUGAAAAACAAUGAGAGCAUCUUGGUGUAUCUCAAGGAGAAGGACUGUGUUGCCAUGCAAUAUGCUACAAGAAGUAUGUGUGAAUCCCCUCACAAGGGCCCAAGGCAUCCCCAGUCCUCAGAAAGAUACCUACCCCAAGGCACAUAAGGUAUUGUAUGAGGACAUAAGAAGGAAGAGACUGAUCAUGAGGUAUUCCGGCUUACAAAACUCAUUCACUUUUUUAAGCUGUUUGUGAAGAAACACGAAGGAGUGGAACUUUUAAAUUACAAGAGUUUUUUAUUGAAGCAUUGGCUGCAGAGAGAUUUUCCACGGCUAAGUUUUCAUCUACCACCACAAAAAAACAUAAGCCAGCUUGUAUUUCCUGAGACAUUAUCAACAGGGACAGUAGUCAGCAGAUUUAGAGUAUUCUACUUAAUUGACUGAGGAAGUAACAACUGAGAUCAUUGAAGAAGAUGCACCUGCCUCUGCAUCGAAAAACUGAAGCAACAUCACCUGUUGGUCAGGGUUGGAAAAUGGACAACAAUGACCUGUGGGUGGUUUGGCUGACAGUGGACCCGCCCAGAGAGUGUUAUCCUGGUCAUCAGUUGCAGAUGAGACAGGAAGGUGUUUGUGUCAGUCUUGUGGCUUGUCUUGUACAGAUGUCUGUAAAUCAGUCUGAUGAUAAUUUCCUUUCAGGUUCAGUGUAAAUAUGUAUAUGUUCAUUUUGUUUAUCAUCCUGUUUUGUUUGGUUUUUUUUUAUGUUUUGUUGCUUUGCACUAAGUGUUAAAAAUAAAAGUUUACAUUUUUGUGCACCGACAUGAGC
This is a long non-coding RNA of Polyodon spathula (Mississippi paddlefish), 1566 nucleotides long. RefSeq lists it as uncharacterized. The record is from RefSeq and is a predicted model, not a curated record. The transcript is spliced from 4 exons. Lineage: Eukaryota; Metazoa; Chordata; Actinopteri; Acipenseriformes; Polyodontidae.